CCAUGGAAAACUGGGUUCUGUGUCGCAUAUUUUUGAAGAGGAGAAGUGGUUGUAGAAACGUGGAGGAGAAGGAGAUGGAGAGUUUGAGAGGCGGAGUGAAUAAUAGGAAGGUGAGGAAGUCGAAGAUGGUUUUCUAUAACUUUUUGGAACAGAGCAAGACUGAUUCCUCAUCUUCUGCCGGCAGUGGAAUUACCCAUGAAUCAGAUGAGCAUGAAGAGAGCAGUAGCUCCGACACCUUCCCUUAUUUUAGAAGAAAACCUUGACACCCUCCACUUAAAUUCUAGUACUACUGCUUGUUUUCAAAUCAUCUCGGAUCAACCUAAGUUUUACCUCUUUUUUAUAUUGUCUUUCCCUGUAAUUAUCUUCUUUCCACCGGCGCUGAGGGUAGUAAUCUAGGUCUGGAGUGUGUAAUCCAGUUCUUUUUUUCCUUCAAUUUCUAAUACCCUUCAUCAUCAUGCAAAUGGAAAGGCAAUGCAUCUUUUAGCUCGCUAAACCAGCUAAAAGCUACUAAUUUUUAGUCCCAAAGGAGAUGCUUUCACAGAGCAAAAGAGAAAUUAUCCACGAUGGAAAGCAUAACAAAAGAGGUUCAAAAUACAUAUAUAUUUAUGUCCAAAAAUAAAGGACCGUUUUCAGGAGAACAUCCCCAAAAUAAGAACAUAACAUUUGCCAGAUCAGCGUCGCACUAGUUACUACCGGGCUCUUCUUCCUUUUCUUCAGGGAAAGAAGAGGCUGCAAAACAAAGCUAUGGUCAUUCUUGUCGGAUCCACCUAAAUUCCUGUUUUUUUAGGGUAUUCCCUGCACAUCAUCAUGGUAAUAAUUUCUUACAAAAUAAACUAUAAUAGCUUCAGUUCACCUUAUUCCAUUUCCACCUUCACAACUAUGCGUAUCUUAUCCAUAUCUCCUUUCUACUUGUAAUUCUUAACAAGUCCGCAAGUUGAUAUUUUUUUUCCAACUUUCCAAAUCACCAAUAUUGACUUUAUUAAACAUUCGAUAAUUGUUUGUCCAACAUAUAUAUCACUCGAUCGUUCACAAUCACAGUUAUUUUUCUUUUGUCAGGUUAACCAUAAAAUACUGUAUAUAUGAAAUGCAAAGUGAGUUAGCCUAACAUUUCUCGACAUUAAAAUUUCAAAACAAGGGAUUAAAUUUUAACACGUCUAGUUUUAAGCUAUAUAGAGAGCAUGAGAGCUACGUUUCCCUAUUGUAUACAACACUGUUGUACACCACUGCCACUACCCUCAGUUUGGAGUUGACCCAAAUUCCAACACUACAACUGAUCCAAUUUGCACCUUUUACAAAAUAAUAAAAUAAAAUAUAGGAAUAAUUAUACAAUAUGCAGAAUAAAUAAACUACCAGCGUGUUGUAAUCAUCUCCAACAAACUAAUGCAGACACUCAUAAAAUUAUAGUUCAACUCUCAAUUACUUUAUGUAUUGAUAACGAUUUAGUGGUAUAAGACAUCACUUUUAAGGCCACUUAGUCAGAGUGUGUCGGACCCAAUCCUCGAAAAACACCAAUCCAACAUACGAACCCUGUUUCGGGGAAAGAAGGGACCGCACAAUUAAAACUUUAUUAUCGUUAGCGAUUUUCACUCUUUUUUUCACAAUUAUAAAAAGUAGUUACAUAAAAAGCAUUGCUCGGAAUUAUACAAAUAUCCAAUGCAUGUAACGAUUUGGUUUUUCUAAAACGAGAAAACAUGAAGGAAUAGCAGUUAUUGAUAAAAAGAAUUGAAUAUUUGAUGAUGAGAUGGAAACAGUGAGACAAGAAGAUCGUGGAAAUCUUCAACUGGGGCAUCACUUGAAGGUACCAUAUUUGUCAUCUACCCUUAGUCCGACGUGGUUGCCCCUCGUUUUCCAACCAACUGGGUCCCUUUAACCUUUAUUCUUUCACCCACCUUUCUCCUUUAAUUUUCUUAUUAUAUUUUUAUUCAAUACACAAUUUUACAUCCAUUUAUAAAAUAUCAUAAAAGAAUAAAUCUUUAUAUUUAAAAAAUAAUAAUAAAAAAAAUGUCAAAUAAUAUAAAAAAAUGUGUAUAUCAAAAUAUAUUUUUCCUUUUAUUACACUAUAUAUCUCUCCUCCACCUUUUCCAAUUUUUCAUUCUAAAAUACUACCUCAUUUGUUCUUCAUUUUCUUUCUUAAACCCAACCUCCCUCACUAUCAAACCACUUUUUCAAAAUAAAUAAUUCUAUCAGUUAACAUCUUAUCUUUUUUCAUGGUACUCUAAAGUUAUGGUGCGUUUCAUGAUAAACAAAACAAGUCACUUAACAAUCACAACAUACUUGAGCAUCUCACACACUUCUCCACGAUUCCUUAAUAGCGGCAACCCUUUUACAAACUUCUUACCUUAAUUCUAAUCAAGUUUUGCUAACUAACUAAUAUUACCAAGUUAUCUCAAUUUUCAUUUGUGAGAGAUCGUCGUGUUUUUCAUAUUUAAUCAAUUGCACAUGUUUAUACGUAAUUAACUAAACAUCUAUAUUGUUGAAAAGUAUUAAAAUUAGUGGCUUUUUAAAACAAAUAAAAAUACUAAAAAUCCAAAAAUACUUAAAAAACUAGUCAAAAUUCAAUUAUUGAAGGUGUGCAGAUGUGACCUGUGAUAUUAUUGAUUAGCAUUUAACCCAAUUCCAUUUUUAACAUACUGUGCAGCAAUUAGAGAGCAACGUGUACAAUUUUUAGUUGUUUAAAUUGAACUCUAAAAUGAGUUCUUUUAACUUUAUCAUCUCUUUAUUAUUUACACGAUUUGUUCGAAUGACACAUAAAAUAAUUGUCUCCCUUGAAAGAGACAAGGUAAUAUGUUAAAAAAUUGACAUCAAUGAUAAUCCCGUAUUCUAAUAAAGACCUCAUAAACAAAGCACACAUUCAAAAUAAAUUUAUUUAUUUUUUCUUCGAUGAGUAUGCAAAAAUAGUAUGGUCAUGAAACCUUUUUUUUUUUAAUAAUUUUAAUAGGUCCAAAAAUUACAUUUUAGAAUAAUUUUUUAAUAACUUUCAUAUUAUAUACUAGUCUUUUAAAAGUAACCGGUCAACUGUAAGUUGCUUAUAUAACAACAAUCACAAAAUCUUAUACGGCACACCUAGGUCGAUGUAUUUUAUCAAUAUUCAACAAAUUGGUUCUUGAAUAAAAAAGAGUAAAGUAUAUAUAUUGGUUUCUUUUAAAAAUAAAAACUAAAUUCGAUAUAUUAGCUCCUCUAAUUCUUUUGUCUUUUUUUUUUUUGCAGUCACUUAGAUUUUGAAAUGCAUCAUUUUAUCCUUCGAAUUUAAAUAACGUUUUAUAAAAAAACAAAAUUAUCUAGACAACGUUCGAACGAUGAAAAGUUCUGCCUUCAUAAGUAGAAGGAAUAAAAAGAAACAACGUUUUUGAUAUAUAACUAAACUUUGGAUGUUUUAGAAUGUUAAAGAACAUAUUUUUACACUUACCAUUGACAUGAAAUAAUACAUCUAGUAUUUUUUAGAACAUCUUUUGUUGAAAUGAAAGGAAAUUAAAGCCGGAAUCUAGUUACAAAUAAAAAUAUAUUAAAACGUUGAAUUUGUGAAAGAAAUAUAAUUAAAGAACACGUUGCUAAUUGUAACUACGCAUAAAUUAUAUUAGACAUCAGUAAAAUAGAGAUGGAUGUUUCAGGUCAACGUUACGGUCAUCUGACAAAAAUAACAGACUAUUUUUUAACCUGUCAAUUUAAAUUUUCAAUCAAUAAUUUAAAAAAAAAAAAUGUGUAUAAUCAAAAGUAAUUUUAGUCGAUGGAAAUUACUUAUCUAUAAAAUAAAGCAGGUAGUAACAUGAACCAACGUAAGUGCAUACACUAUUUUUAGUGACCUAUCCAAAUAAAGUUUUUUGAAUUAAUAAAUUUUAAAAAAGUUCACCACAAUCAGACAGAAUUUCCUGAUAACUUAUUAUUUGUGAAAUAAAGGAAUUAAUCAACUUGUAUUUUUUUCCGACACAGAAUUUUUUUUUAAUAAAAAGAGAGAGUGUUUGACUAGUACUUAAUUGAAUUUAAAAACACUUGUUCUACACUCCCAAGUAACGUGGACGUUUCCAUUAUUUAGUGGGAAAAUAAAAAAUAAAUUAGGCCCACAUAGAAAUAUAUUAUGACAAUUGAGACUGCAAUACAUAGGAUCAUGUCUGUCUGGGAUAGAAUAGAUUUUCUCAUUGGUUUUAUAUGGCCAUAGUUUUUAUGCAUGUAGCUUUAAUAAGAAUAUAUGCCAAUAUGUAUGGUUAGUCGAUUUGAGCGUGAUUUAGACCCUUAAGUUAUUGAAAAGCUAACAGAAUAUUUUAAUUGAUUUGAAAAUGAUUUCGCAAGUGUAUGUUGUUUACGUUCACGGCUCCUCAAAUGAAUGUGGUAUCAGAAGAAUUCAUAAAUGCAAUAAAUUCAAUUUUCAAAAGUGUCUCAGAUACAUAAUUAACUAUUUGUAAUCUAAAAGGAUCUUGAACAAGCGUGGACCUUAAUUGCAUUUAAAAAUUAAAACCUUAAGAAAAUCAAAGCUAAAAGGUGAAUUAAGUACCUAUACAUAGUAAAUAAUGUUAGAAGAAAUUAAUUUACUUUAACUAAUACAAAGUUUUGUAAAACAUGGAUGUCCCGUUAACAAUAGACUGAGGAGUCAACAAUCUUUUCGAUAUUAUGAAAGAUGAUUGAUGCACUGAUCAGUUAGACUAUAAACAAAAUUAAUAACGAGAAUAAUUACAUAAUCCUAAAUCAAAUUAUUACUAUUUAAAUUAUAAUUAAGCUAAUAUUAAUCAAAAGAAUAUCCCAAAUAUAAGUUUAAUAUUUAGAUAAUUAAUUACUUUUUAUUAGUAUUUAUUGUUACAAUAAUUAAAUCAACACUAACUUUAAAGAUUGAACAUAAAAUCCUGUUUGGAAAACAUGAAAGGGGAUUUGAAAAAUAAGAUAAGAAUAAUAUUAGUGAUGUAAAGUGGAAAGGGAGGGUAAGAAAAGGUAACACCGACAGAAUAGGAUGCGUCUGAAGUGUGAAGAAGUUAGUAACUAACAAAACAAAACAAAACCAAAAGAGUUGAGUUUCCUGUAUUCAUUGAUAUUGGUUUGCUCCCCGUUGAGGGAUAGAACAGAAAUAGAAACAAGUUAGUGUGAGAGAGGGAGAGGGUUAGUUGUGUACUUUCAUCAAAUCAGUGCCAUGCCACUGAUAUAGCCUCUUUGUCUUGCCUUGGGUCACCUCCAGCUGUACCCCAUCACAAAACCUCACUUCAUGCACCUCUUCAUUUCACUUCAACAGUAAAACCACCAAAAUCAAAAUUUAGUAAACUCAAGACAAAUUUUGUUUCCAAGAAAAAAUGGAGAACUUGUUUUGUUUUAUCCAAGGAAGGGACCGAGGAGUGCUUGUUUUGGAUAAACCCAACGGAAUUCUCUUCCAAUCACAACACAAGGAACAAGAGGUCGACGGAACUAGGCUUUGUUUUCUUAUUAGCAGCCGCAGCCGCAGCCACUCUGGUCUCACGAACUUUUCUCACGAACAAACCAAAAUAAUAAUAAUAAUAAUAAUAAAACCUUAAACCACAGUUAAUAUAACGUCAAAGUAAAAGAAAGGUUGAGUCUGGUUUACGCAAAAUGUGUCGUCUUAUUCUUCUCCUUCCUUCCUGUCAGACCCAUUUCUAUAAAAGAAGCCACACUGCAUCUUACUCCAUACCCUUUUGCUUUCUUUAUCCAAUAAUAAUAACCCCCUUUUCCCUCCUUUUUCUUCUUUCCUUUCCCCUUCUUCUUCAGCCCCUUUCUUUAUUUUCCUCAACGCUUUAAUGGACUUAUAAGAACCCCCACGAGUGCUUCAAUUGUCACCCACCCAACUUUCCUACUCUGCUCUAGUCGGACACACAGAGCUAUUCUCACUAUAUUCCUAAACAUAUACAGAGAAGAAGUAGGGCGUGGUCGAAUGGAGAAACUGAAUUUUGUCAAAAAUGGGGAGCUCAGAUUGCCUCCGGGCUUCCGUUUCCACCCAACCGACGAGGAAUUGGUUGUGCAAUACUUAAAGCGGAAGGUUUUCUCCUUCCCUUUGCCAGCCUCCGUCAUUCCUGAGUUUGAUGUUUGCAAGUCUGAUCCUUGGGAUUUGCCAGGUUUCCAUAAUUCCCUUCUUCUCCUCUCUCUUCUUCUUAACUAAUUAAGUCUAAUUGCAAUGCCUUGUGGAUGGUGUGUUUAGGUGAUUUAGAGAAAGAGAGGUACUUCUUCAGCACCAAAGAGCCCAAAUAUCCCAACGGCAACCGCUCCAACAGAGCCACCAGUUCAGGUUACUGGAAGGCCACUGGGUUGGACAAACAAAUUUUAACUUCAAAAGGGAACCAAGUAGUGGGAAUGAAGAAGACACUUGUUUUCUACAGAGGAAAGCCACCUCAUGGAUCCAGAACCGAUUGGAUCAUGCAUGAGUAUCGCCUCCUUAACCCUCCGUCUCAGGUCAGGAUUCGGAGAGAGCAAAUUAACUCACAAUUAUCCUCGCGCACGCAUUAAUUAUUCAUACAAUAUUUUUGGUUUGUUUGUGUAUUCAGGUUCCCAUGGAAAACUGGGUUCUGUGUCGCAUAUUUUUGAAGAGGAGAAGUGGUUGUAGAAACGGGGAGGAGAAGGAGAUGGAGAGUUUGAGAGGCAGAGUGGAUAACCGGAAGGUGGGGAAGUUGAAGAUGGUUUUUUAUGACUUUUUGGCGCAGAACAAGACUGAUUGCUCAUCUUCUGCCGGCAGUGGAAUUACCCACGAAUCAGAUGAGAAUGAAGAGAGUAGUAGCUCCAACACCUUCCCUUAUGUUAGAAGAAAACCUUGAGUCCCUUUAGUUAUUUCUAGCACCACUACUUGUUUUACAACCAUCUCAGAUCAACCUAAGCUUUGCCUCUUUCUUUUAUUGUCUUUCCCUGUAAUUAUCUUUUCAUUUUCAACCGGCACUAAGGGUAGUCUAUGUCUGGAGAGUAUGCUACUAAAACUAGUGUGUAAUCCAGUUCUUAUUUUUACUUCAAUCUGUUCUUACUUUUACUUGAAUCUCUAACACACUUCAUGAUGCAAAUGCAAUUGCAAUGCUGCUUAAAAGUUACUGAUUUUCAGUCCUAAAGGAAAAGCUUUCACAGAGCAAAAGAAAAUCACAGUUUUCUUCACAAAAUUUUAAAAAUAAAUUAAAAAAAAAUACACGAAAUGAUAAAAAUAUGUAACGUAAAUAUAUAUUAUACGUGUAAAGAUUUGGUUUUUUCCAGAAUGAGAAAAGAUAAAGUAGUAACACUUAUAUUAAUAAAAAAAUCAAUAUUUCAAUACAUGUAUGAUUAUGUAAUAAUGUUAUACUACACGUUCAUUUUUUUUUAAUUAAAAACUAUUUAUUUGAUCUAUUAAAAGAGGACUUGAAUUCUAGAGGCAAUGUUAUCAUGAUCAUUGAAUUUAUGUUUUAGUAUAUAAUGAAUGAUAGUUAGAUAUCAUAUUAAAAAAAAUUCGGCAAAACUAAAUAGGAAAAUUACAAAAAUUGUUGGUCUGAAAAUGAAUGGCAAGUUUAUUUAUUUUAUUUUUCUAAUUGUAGCAAAAGUGUUUUCAUCUAAUUUUAAAUGUCUUAAAACAAUUUUAGAAGAAAAAUUAUAGAAAAAAAUGUUAUAUUAAUUCUUGUUUUAUAAUUAAAACUUACUUCUUUACUAUUUAUAGGGGGGUUUUUAGUUACAACUCAAUUACAAUAUUUUGUUCAACUACUUUUAAUUAAUAUUAGAAGAAUUUUACAAUUACAAGUAUUCUACGUCCAUCUUAAUAAGAAAACAUUACACUUUCUUUUAUGUAUAAAUAGAUAGUUUUAAGAAAACAUUACACUUUCUAUUAUAUAUAAAUAGAUAGUUUAAAGAUAAAAGUAAGUAAAAAUGUAAGUUCGUAGAAGAGACAGUGAAAAUAUUUUAAGAAUCAUACUGUCCCUCCCAUCGCAUUUUGACUCUUUGGUAUUUUGCUCACAAAAAUUGGAUCAAUCAUGCCAUUGUGCAUAAAAAUGGCAGACUACCAUGUUGUACAUAAACAAAUUUAAAAAAAAGAAAUACUAUAUUCUAACAUUAAUCUUAUUUAAAAUUUUCAUAUCUUUAUUUCAUUAUAUAGAUUUACAAUUGAAAUGAGCUGAAUAUAAGAUUACCAUCUACAUUAAAUAAAUAUUAAAAGUUAAAUAUUUAAUUAACAAUAAAAAAUAAUUAUUAAUUAAGUUACUAAAAAAUUAUAAUAAUUAACCAUAAUUUUUCUUUACUUUCAAAAGUUUUUUAUAUAUAUAUUUUAAUGACAUUGGGUGCAGUCUUGGAACAUUCCAUAUAUUUUACCAUCUAUACAUUUUAAUAAACAUACUUAGUUUAAGAGCACUUUCAAUUUAAAAAAUGAAUCUGAACUUUAGUUUCAGCAUUAUAUUUUAAAGGUUUAGAAGAUUAUAAAGUAGAUUAUAACGCUUUCACAUGGAUUAAUUUCUUAUCCUUUUAAGAUUAAUGAGUUUAAAUCUUGUAUCUGGGAAUUAAUCUAGAACUAUGGUUAUCACGUUUGUGUUUCUUCUAUCAUGUAUGUGUUCUUACCCCUUUGGGAAUCUAUCCAAAAUCUUCAUACUGUAUGAGAUUAGAGUAUUCUACUAUAAUCUUUUGAGGCUCGUUGUUAACAGUUUGGAAUUUUUCAAACAAUUCGUUUCAAUACAAUUCUUCCUGUGUUUUAAGAUUGGUGGGCUUUUUCAAUUAAACAUAGUUUGUGCCUUCGUGGAUUAUCUUAUAGCAUCAGAUAAUUGUGUUGCUUUGUACCCAUGAUAUUUAUUAUAUUCAAAUUUAGGUAAAAUACAAUUUAUAAUAUUUUUAGCCUAAGUUCUUUGUGUUUAAUUUUCCUCAUCUAACUUAUUUGAACACAGGACAGAAUAAAAUAGGCCAACAAUAAAUCAUUAGAACAUUUACUUUAGUUUAUCUGUUGGACGAUGCAUCAAUGGUUCAUAUCCUCUGAAACAUCAAAUGAAACAGACAUCUAUUUAGAGGAAUUUAUCAUCUAAAAAGAUGAACGCAACUGUUUGGAUUUUAAAAUAAUAUUUUUAUUUUUUAACACGUAUAGUAACUGUGAAUUAACUUUUGAAGAAAAGUCAAGUGAAAUUCUUCUUAAAUCAUUGUUUCUAAAAUUUAACUUCUAUGGUUAGACUAAAACUGUAUAUAAAGUCACAUCCUAAUUCCACAUCAGCCAAUCAUGAUAAAGACAAAUUUAUUUGGACAUAUGUCAUAUAGGACCCCUUUACUUAGUAAUUUUAUCAUUUAAUCACAGUUCUAAUUACUUAAAAGUGUUAGUACUCGAACAUUUAAAGAAGGAAAAAUACUAGUUCAUCAUCAACUGCAAAUAUUGUUAAGAACUUCUGUAUUUUCAGCAUAGUUUUUAUUCAAGUACAAAAAUAGUAUAUUUUUUAAACAUGUUUAAGUUCGAUUUUGAAAUUCGGAUGCAUAUUUUCCGUCUAACUAUAUUUCAAAAAAUUAAACUUUGCCUAAUGUACGAGACUUCUCUCACUUUAACUAACUCUAUAUUACGAAAGAUAGGGCUAUCAUCACACCCUUUUAUCAUGAAGUAAAAUUUUGAAGGACUCAAAAUUAUCAAGGGAACUGACUAUAAGAACGAAAUUCACUAUUUCACAAGUCCCUAUAAAUAUAGCUAAUAUAGUAAAAGAGUGCUGGGAAGAAAUGUUAAAAGUGUGUUUGGUAACAUUCUUGAAUUCAUUAAACUAGAGAAGACUAUAAAAGUUGAGCGGUAGGAACAAAAAGAUGAAUUAAGAAUGAAAGAAAUAAAAAAGAAUUAAUUGGCGAGCGGAGUUUGUUGUUAAUAAGGGUAUUAGAGUUCUUCACGUCACCUUUUCUAUUUAAGUUUCAUUUUCAUGGAGAAAAUACAGGAUGACAAAGAGUGUUGUGUGAAUUGCUGACUUAGUAGAACAAUGCAAACUUUUGUCAAUCACGUGGGUAGCCUAUCAUGGUCACACAUGACCCGACCCAUUCACUCCAAUCCAAGCUAAACUUGGUAGUAGGCUCACCUGAUUAGGUCAAUCAGGUUAAGAAGGUUUCCUAUCAAUUAUUAUUUUUCCUUCAAAAACUGUCUUGCACAGAAGGCAACAUGUCCAUCCAUCAAUUGUGACUAUGUCUAUUAAUGUUGUUUGCCUGUAGGGUUUUACAAGGUUUGCUUAGUACAAUUGAAACAAACAAGACGUGUCCAUUUCUUACUUCUUCUCCUAACCAAAUAAAUCUAAGUACAUGGGCCCCAAUUCCCAAAAGAGAUCCAAAGUCCUCUUCUCCACCAAGGCAAAAAUGGAUUAAAAUUGUGAGUGACUCAGUACAUGUUCAACUCGAGUUGAGAUAUAAAAAAAUAAAAUAAACAUGAAUCAAACUGAACUAACUCAGGUUCGUCGAAUUCAAACUCAAUUGAAAAUAAACUGUGUUACUAUUGCCUAACAAUGUCAUUUAUUAUAAUUAUUUACUAUAAGUCGAUAAUUUGAUCUUUUGAUCUUCUUUAACAUUAGAAUCAUGCUAAUAGUGUUAAAUUAUUUGAAUAGGAUUUCAUUGUUUGUCUAAUUGUAUAUAUUAUGCUUACUAUUUUUAUAAUAGUAUUUUCUAAUUUUAGUUGAUGUUUGAUGAAAUAAAUAAAUAAAUACCUUAAUUAUAUUUUAACAGAUAUAUCAGAUCAAUCUACUUUGCUUCUACUAAUAAAACCAAAUUGAAAGAAAAACAAAGCGUUAAGGAGUCAACCGGUUGGGGAUAAGUUGGCUUGCAUCGCAUUGACGUCAAAAAGCCAAUUCCAUUUCAGCCCUACAACAAGUUCACGGGCCAUAAAUUAAGGGCCCCCACAACACUACGGCCCAAAACACAAUUCUCCCUCCUUUACCACUGUUACCUAUAUUGGCAAUUUUCUUUUACAACUUCUUUGGAAAUAUAUGUGUGUGUAUAUAUAUAUAUAUAUAUAUCAAAUCUCAUCGAUCAUGAUAACUAAAUCAAUAAGAACUCGUUUGUUUGACAAAAAUGAGAUAGAGCACCUCUUGAACAAGUUUUCACGAAAGGAUAGUUUGAUUAAGAGCUCUAUGAAAUAAGUUAAAAAGUGUUUAUGGUUGCCUAUAGAAAUUAGAUAAAGAAAAAAGAGUUUAUAGGGAGGUUAUAUAGAAAACAAAAUAAGAAUGGCAUUAUUGUGUAAUUAUUAGGUAAGAACAGUCCAUAAAAGAAAAUAAAAAUAACAGUGAAGAGCAUGUAACAAGAGUAUGGCAGGCACGGCAUAGCUAGAUUGAUAAGAGAUAGAAUUCAAGCAUAGAAUAUAUUAGAAAGCAAUCUGUAAAAGUAAAGAUGGAGUAGGAUAUUUGAGGGUUACAAAUAGGAUUUGAAGGAAAAAAGGAGUGAGUAAUUGAAUGAUCCUGCAAUGAUGCAAGAGAUGAUUGAGAGCAUGCCUUGAAGACAGCUUCAUUCUUGAAAUGGAUUUCAGAAGAAGAGAAUAGAGAUGUGGUUGUCGAAGAAGAAGAAGAAACCCUAAAAAGGAGAAAUAGAGAGAUAGAGAGAGAUGGAAAACCUGCCAAACGCGGCGGAGGAGGCGCUUCUCAGCAUUGGCUUCUUCACGAUCUCCAUCACCCGCGUCCCCCACAGUGCACCACCCAUCCUUAGAUACCAAAUAUCUCUUUCUUUCCGUUGCCCAGCCACCACCACCACCUCCACCCCUUUUUCUCAUUUCCAAUUUGGGCUCAACCUUUUCAUUUUAUUGGGCUUUCUUUCUCUCUAUCCAUUUCUAUUUCCAUUCUCACAUUUUACUAUUUCCACUCUUCCAAUUCUCUGUCUCUUAUAUUCUUGUAUCCUAAUAAUCUAAUUUUACCUAAAUUAAAAACGUAUUUAUAGCAAAAAAUAAUAUUAGGAUAAUUAUAGAUAGAUUUCAUUUUUAAUAGAACAAGAAAAAAGAAAACUACACUUUCAGUACAACAACUCUUUAAUUUUAUUAGUUUUUGUAUUCAAACAAAAUCAAAGAAUCAUAGUAUUUGUACUAAAAUAAUAAUUUUAUUAUUAUACUAAAAAUAAAAUAUAUAUGUAUACUCACCAUACUAAACCAAUUAUUUAUCUGAAAAAAAAAUAUCAAAAAAUUUAAAUGUAUAUAAUAUAAAUCAAAUUUGAUAAUGAAGACAUAAACAUGUGUUUGAAACCAAUGAUUAAGUACUCGAAGCAAAUCAUAUGUUAAUAUAAUUAAAGUAAUUAAAAGGUAAGAAAAAGAACAACUUCCUAAUCAGAUGUUGAAGAUAAACAAAAUCCAAAUAUUGAUACAUUAAAAAAUAAUCUAAACACAUUAUCAUAUUAGCAUACGAAAUAUAAUAAUGACUUAUUUUUAGUUGCACUUGUCAUGCCAUUGAGAAUAGCUAUUACAUUAUUUCUUACAUUUCCAUACUUAUAAAGAUCUUAAAUCCUUUGAUUUGUUUGUCUCAAUUUCACAAAAACGAGUUAAUAUAAGCAUUUCCACAAAAUCUGAGUAAAAGAUACACAAUAUUUUAAUUACUUCCCUAAUAUAUUUCUAAAACGGAAUAAACCUGUUAGUAAAUAAUCCAAAAUUAUCAAAUUACAAUAAAGUGCAAGAAUCAUAAACUAUAUUCAAAGGUAGUUAAUAUGUCCCCUCUUACAUUUAGCUUUGAUUUUACAGAGCCUUUAAACUCUAAUAUUUGAGUCCUCUAAUUAACCCAACCACAAAAGUCCUAUAACAAUAACGUAAAUAUAUUACUAAAACAUUUUUAAAACAAAAUAAGUUUAUAUUAAAAAGGAAAAUAUUUUUUUAAAAACUUUAUUUUAAUAAUUUUUCUACAACGUCCAUGUAGAAACUUGCAAAUGAUCCAUCUCAAAUAUUUUAUUAAAAAUAAAUUCAUACAAACUAAUAAAAUAAUAACUAUUAUCAAAAUAUUAUUAUAAAAAGUUAUUAACAUAUAAUUAAAAAAAGUUAGAAUCGUACAAUUUUAAAGAAGUGCAAGAAAUAUAAAUUGUAUUAAAAAAUAAUUAGAAUAUCAAAUCUUAUCCUUUACUUAAAUUUGAGAAAUUCCAAAAUACUUUUAAUUAUAGAUAAAAACUUACUAUGAAAAUAAAUUCAUUGAUAAAAUAACAUUUAUUAUAAUUUUCUUUUGACAAAAAAAAAUUGUAAAUAAAAAUUUGAAUUAUUGACGAAAAAAAUUAUUCAAUAAAAUAUGUAAGUUAUCUUAAAUUAUUGUUAUCGAAGGUUUUUUUAUUAGUAAAUCAUGUUCGGGCACUACAUUUUCCACUUUGAUUCGUGCUAAAAUUUGUUAGUGAAAUUGUUGAUUAUAAAAAUUUUUAAAAUCUGUCAGUAAAAAUCCAUCAAAUAAAAAUUUAUUUAUUGAUGAAAAAUUCCUCCAAUAAAUUAGGAAUCAAAAUUAUCACUCAAUCUAAUUAAAUAUUUAUAAAUUAAUUGAUUAAUAUUUGUUGAUAAUUUUUUUUCGAUAAAAUAAAUUUUUAAUUAUAAAAAAAAAUGUUGAUAAAUUCGUUAGUAAAAAAAUCCGAAAGAAAAAAAAAAUUGUCUAAUUUUUCAAUAACAUAUUCGUAAAAGAAAAUUUUGAUAAAAAUAUAAAUUGUCAGUAAAUUCGUAAGUAAUUUACAGUUGUUAUUACAAGGAACUUUUCUAUUUGUGAAUUAUGUUGAUAAAAGAUUAUGCACUUCCUUUUUUAUUUGUGAUAAAAUUUAUUAAUAAAUUCGUCGAUAACUGAUUUUCUUAAAAUCUAUUACUGAAAAUUUGUCGAUGAAUUUAUGGAUAAGGUACCAAAUUUUUCAUUCAAACUAACAAAAUAUGUUAAUAAAUUAAUUUCUCAAUAUUCGUCGGGAAAAUAAAAUUUUCAUCAUCUUCAAGAAUAAUUGCAAAAAUAAUGAUAAGAAUAAAAGAGAGAAAAAGAUAAAUAUUUAUCAAUAAAUUUUAAUAAAAAUAAAAAUUAUCCAAUGAAUUUUAUUAAUGAAUAAUUAUUCAAAGAAUUUUUAAUUAUUAAUAAUUAUCGACAAAUUUUCGAAUCUGUUGAUAAAAUUUAGUGAUGAACAUUUGAUGGAUAAAUUUUUUACUUGUAGUGUGUAACAUCUCAAUAAAUAUAACUUGAAAACUAUAAUUUAUUUUAGGGGUAUACAUAAACAAUAAUAAAGGACAGUAGGAGAUAAGCACUUAAGAGUAACGAGAAUAUGAGAUUUCAUAUAGAAUUUAAAGUUGUACAAAAAUAUAGAAGUUUGGUAGCUUUAAGGCCGAACAGUCAUAUGACAAGUUCCAGGCCGAAUGGUACAUCAAAGGGAUAACUAGACCGAACGGUUCUUACAAAACACGAACCGAACGGUUAUUACACUAAGCAAAUGAAAAAUCUAAUCUAAGGACCGGACGGUCCUGCACAAGUCUCCGACAUCACAUCCAAGGGUUGUUCUGUUUGCAAGGCAUCUUCCAAAGUAUCUUCUAGAGCACCCUCUGCUCACACCCAAACGGAUGAUCAUUGCAGUGAAGAGAACAAACCGGACAGUCGAAUAUCGAACGACAACAUAGACAAGACAAAACAGAUAAGGGUAAGCUUAUGUAAAUUUAAUUAAUCAUUUCUAUAUAUUUUUCAAAACAUACACAUAAUCACAUACAUCAAUAUCUCAAUCAUGUAAUCAUCAUAUAAGAAUAACAAUAAAACCGAACGUAUACAUCACUCAAAUCAUCUCAUAUAAUAACCGAACAUAUAAAACAUUAUGACCGACCAUUAUGACUCUGUCCGGACUGUAGGAAUAUGUAGCUAUGGUUAUCCUUGCAUCUGUGGGUGGUAACCUGGAAUAAACCAUCAGUAUUACCGCAACAUGGAUAACCCUUGAGUUUGCCCACGAGGUUAGCCUGUUAAAACACCUUAGGUCAAGGUUGUACACACCGCCCAGGCUAGAGCCUCCUGCCAUUCUCACCACAUGGUCACUAGCGCUAGUGAGCAUUAGAAUAUCAGGACGAACACCAAUACAAAGUUGGCCAUAUUCUUACUUCACCAUCAAUCAAACAUAUGGUAUGAACCAUGUAUGCUCGCCGCUCUCUGCACUCAGUGUGGACCUGGCUAGCAUAACUCAUCAGACCGCCACCCGAGGUUAGUCCUAAAACGAUCACCUGGUCUUAUGAUCAUGGACCUCCUGCCAUUCACACGCAUGACUUUUCCUCCUCUAUAUGAGAAGGCAAAAUCACGAAAUAUCAGGAUAGAGCGGAACCUGAGCCUUAGCCACGGUCGUACUUUACCAAUAUAAGUCCAAUCAUGAGCUAUUCCUCCCUGGAAUACUCUUACUUAAAUCAAUACUACACAAGGUUAAGGAAAUGACCGGACGGUAAGACACAUAAAGGAAAUGGAGUACCAAGGAAAACUUAAUAGAUGACCGAACGGUCGGAUCGAAUUAAGAAAAACAACAUAGAAGAAGUUCUAGUAAGGGACCGAACGGUCAAGCAAGGAAGGAAACCGAGCGUUGUUUGAAGAUAAAGAAAAAUAAAUAAUUCAAGGAAAUGAAUGAACGUUCAACAAUAGGUUACCUUUAACAAGACCCAGUACUUUACAGUUUGGCUGAAUGCCUUAAUAUACAUAAACUAGAGUUCUUUUCAGUAAAACGAGUGUCAGUGCAAAACCGAACACUCUGUGAGGGAUCAAGUGUCAGUGUAAGACCGAUAAUAGAUAUUAUUAUAAACUGGACAUUUUUCCCAAGAAGGAUAAUUAACACCAAACCAAGUACUUAGUCUAUGACCAAAUAGUCAAACAUAAUAUCAUAUUUGUAAAACCGAACGCUGGGUUUAUGACCGAAUGUUCUUAAAAUGAGUAGUAAUUAUAAUACGAAAUCGAAUGCUUCAGAAGUUAAGUGUCAGUCUAAUACCAAACACUUGUAUGAUUGAACGUAUAGUUUAUGACCAGACGUUCUUAGAAUUCAAGCACUGGUAUAAGACUUAGCACUUUUAAUAAACAUUAUCAAUAUAGGCCGAACACUCAGUGUAUGACUGAACGUUCUAAAUAGUUAAUACGAGACCGAAUACUCAGUGUAUGACCAAGCACUUAGAGACCGGACGUUCAGUAUAGGACCGGACGUCCUUUAAUGGUUAAUUCCGAACGGAUAACCAAGCAAGAUAUUUAAGUUUCAACACAAAGGUACCAGAUCAAUUGUUUUAAGAGGAAACCGAACGGUCCUAAUGACCCUUCGAUUACAGAUUCAUAUUUUCACUAAGUUUUAUAACUUUAUGACAUAUUUCAUACAAAAAAUCAAACAUGCAUUUCUCAGCAACAAGAUCAUACAUUCAGCAAGCAUAACUCACAAAAUAUUGCAUACAAAAAUAAUCAUAAUUAAAUUUAUAAGCUUCCCUUACCUCUAUUUCCAGCUAGGCCUCUAAGGUUCCUUUAGCACUGACUACCUCUUCUAAUGUUCCCAAGGUCUAGAGUCAAAUUACAAGACAACCGAUUUUAGGGAAAUGGUUUAACAAUCACAUGCAAGCUUAAAGGGUGCUUGCAUGCAAGAAUACCAAUAAGCUUAAAUGGCCAGAAAACACUUACCGAUUCAUAACGGAAAUUGGACCGGUGCAAAGUGAAGGUCUUGACGACGAGAACAAUUAAUCUGAAAGUAAUCAGGUGAUCGGAGGAGGGGAAAGGGUUAGAAUUCUAGACAGGAGGCUGAAGGGUUUUAGAGAGAAGGAGGAGAAAAUGGAGUUCUGAAAUUUUGGAGAAGAAGAUCGCAUGUAGGGAAAAUGAUGUCAGAUUUAAAACUCCAGCUUUUAUAUCACCUCCAAAAACCAAACGGUCAAGUCUCAUGCUGCCACAUGUUUUCCACUUCCUGAAUUGCUGCACUCCAUGGGCUGCCACUUGGAUUCCACUUCCUGUACAUCUCACCUUUUUUGUUGCCGCACGGUUUCCAAUGAUUGAGAAAUUAAAUACACGUACAGAUUUUGUCUUCCACUGUCAUGGGAAGCUUGGAACGAUGUGACAUGUGUUUUCCACUAAGAUGGAGAAUUUAUGAGAUGUGACAUAGUGGUUUUUGAUUUAUCAACAAAUUAUAAACGUUAUUAUUGACAAACUUUAAUCAUAGAUAAUUUUCUUUUUUUGAUGAGACCAUAAACUUUUUCAUUUACUUCAAUCUUCCUAAGAUCAUAACAUUUGUUUUAGUCUUAAACUUACAUGUUAAUAUGAACACUAUUAAAAAAGUCUAAAUAAAUACAUAUAUAUAUAUAUAUAUAUAUAUAUAUAUAUAUAUAUAUAUAUAUAUAUAUAUAUAUAUAAUUGAUAUGUAUGUUUAAAAGUCUAAUAUAUGUUACUAUAGUAUAAAUGUCCUAGUAAAUAUUUUGAAUGAGUUUGAUGGUUAAGAAUUAUUUACAUGCUUAAUAAUAUAAAUAUAAAUGCACAAUUUCUUUAAAAACAUUAUUUUAUACAUGUGUUAGAAUGACAAACUAUAUUAAAAAAUAACUAGUAUGUUAGUUUUCAACUUUUACAUUAAUUUCAUAAAGAUCUUAAGGUUAAUACACACAUCACCACGAUGUGAUAGUAAAAGCAACAACAUCAAAGCAUUAAUAAUACGUUUUUAAAAUAAAAUAAACUUACAUGAAAAAAAUAAAAAAACCGUCUAAUUAGAAAAAAAAAAUGAUAAAAUAACAAAUUGUAUUAAAAAAAAUAUUAUGUUAACUCUUAUUUUUUUCCUUUAAUCUCAUUAUAACCCUAAACUCUUAUAUUUGCUUUAAUAUCUAGAUGACAAAAAAUAGGUCCAUAUAAAGACCAAUACAAAACUCACCAGGACAUUUUUAAAACAAAAUUAAAUCUACAUUAAAAAAAUUAUCUUUGUAAUGAAAUAGAGUGGCUACCACCAAAAUCUGAGUAAAUAUAUUACUUAAAGUAUUUAAAACAUAAUUAGAACAUUUUAUCUAACUUGUAUUAAAAAUAGAAUGAGCACUCAAGCAACUUAAUGAAAAAUAUUGCUACGAAAAUCAAGGUAAACAUAUAAAAAGUACGACCACAUAAUCAAAAUAAACUUGUUAUUAAUUGUAUUUAAAACAAAAUAAGGAUAUUUCAUUCAACUUAUAGUUAAAAUAGAGUAAACACAUAUAUAACCCAAUGAAAAAUACUGUCACAAAAAUCAAGGUAAAUGCACAAACCUUGCAACACAAAUGAUCAUGUAAAUAGAUUAUUGAGCAUAUAUUUAAAAUAAGAUGAAAAUAUAAGCAACUCAAAUGAAAAAUAUUACCAUAUAAAUUAAAAUAAACACACAAAUCUAUAAACACUAUAUCAGUAUUACAGAAAGAACCUUAGAAAAAUAUAAUAAGAUAAAACAGAAAGUAAUGAAGAAAAUUCAGCAAUGAUGUAAGCAUAUUUACAUUAGGAUAAGAAUAAUCCAAUAUUUUUUAUAAAUAUUAAAAGAACAAUAAAAUUUUAGUAUGACCUUGCACUCUCACACCUCAGUCUCUAACACACACAAAAGUAGGUUAAUAAAAAUACUAAUAAAAAAAUUACAAGUAACAACAACAAAUAUAGUCCAUAGCGUGCUAUGAUAAAAUUGAUGUAUAUGUUUUGAAGUUUGAGUGUAUUGUUAUAAUAUGAAAGCUCUAGUAAGUUUUUUAAAUGAGUUUCACAGUUACUAACUAUUUUAUAAACUUAACAAUGUAAAUAUAAAAUAUUCAUAUAUUGCAUAAAUUUAUAUCAAAUUAUUAUUUUACAUGAGUUGAAAUCACAAUUUGUAUUCAAACAUAGAUACUAUGUUAAGGUUUUACUUUUGCUUUAAUGUUACAAAUAUCUUUAAAUACAUGUUCUAUAGUAGAGAUUGUAUUGAAAAUAUACAAAUCUAUAAGAAAUAUAUGACUUAUUUAAGUUAUUCUUUUUAUUAUAUAUGAAUACACAUAUACUUAUAAACAAUAAGUAUAUAAAGUAAUAAAAAAAUCACAGUUCAUGAAAAAACCAAAUAACAAAUAUUAAUUAAUAAAUUAUAAAAAAUUAAGUAUUUAAUAAAAUAAAAUAUUUUAUUAGAGACUCGUAUUAAAAUAUUCAAACUUACCAAAUAUUUCAAACUUAUUUUUCUCGAAAUUAAAAGUGGAAUAUUUUAAAGUACAAAAGUAAUUGAUUUAGUAAGAAAAAUAUAUUAUUAAGAAUUUUAUUUUAAUUAUUAAUGUGAAGUUUACAAGUGUUGUUUAUCGAAUGGGGUUGUUGUGGGUGAGCGAGGAGGAACAGCAGCCUGUGUCUGCCUCACCAACCUACCUCGCACGACCCAUGUGGUUGGCGAGUAUAUUAAUUUUUAUAAUUAAGGUUUUUCUUUGAUUUUUCUUUUUUUAGUAAUACUUUAAAAGAUCAUUUGUAAGGGUAUUUAAAAGCAUUAUUCUAAAAUUAUACAAACAAAUCUCAAUGGGACAAAAACUGUUAUUUUUUUUUUAAAAGUGGAAGAAUGUAAUAUUGGAUUUUUAGUAAAUAUAAUAUCUUUAUCAGUAUCAUUUUCUACUUUGAGAAAUUUCCUUAUUCUAAAUUAUUUUACAAUAUUCAAAUAUAACGGAGUUUGAAUAAUAAAUAAGAAAAAAGAAAAGUGUAACGAUAAAUAAAUAAUUAUAUUGAAAAGAAUAAGAAAGGAGGAAGGGCAAGAGAAAAAGGGUGGGGGUUGUUUGGUUUGGUUCAUACUAGUUUGUGUGGGUAUCGUUAAGCUAGUGGCGAUCCGAUCCAGCUACAGUUACAGGUGCGGCUUCUUCUUCAUCUUCUUCUGCAUCGUCUUCCAGAUCUUUCUUUCAAUCCUCACACGCGCCUGCCUCUUACUUAGUUCUAGGGUCUUUGUUUCCGCCAUAGAUGUUUGUUCAUAUCUGCUUCUCGCGCAUUUUGUCGAUUAGUUUUUUAGUUUUUAAUGUAAAAAAAUGAAAUUAGUUGAUAGAUUACGACUUUUUGUGACUUUCUUGUUUCUGUUUGCUUGAUUGAAGAUCAAAUAAGCAAGAUGUUCGGUGUAAUAAAGCACAAGGUAUGACUUUUUUUCUGAUUGCAAUUGCAUUUCGCUGUGCUUUAUACGAUGAACACAACAGAACGCACACUCUUUUUUGCAGGCUCAGAGCAUUCGCCCUGCCUUCUCCGCUAUCAGACAUUUUUCUUCUGCCGCCAAAGAGGUUUGUAUUAUUGAUCUCAUCUAAUCUCUUAUCAGAUAUCAACCAAACCCGCCGUUUCUCUGAUUCACGUCUUUCGCUGCAGAUCACUGUUCGAGAGGCUCUCAACACCGCACUCGAUGAGGAAAUGUCAGCUGAUCCUAAAGUCUUCUUGAUGGGUGAAGAGGUCAUCCAUUUGUAUUCUAUUCUAUUCUCUCUUUCCUUUUUACAUUUUUUUUAAUGUUUUUUCGCCCUUGCCCUCUUGUGUUAAGUUUGGUCCUUCGUUUUCCUUCUGUUUAAGUGCAGGUUGGGGAAUAUCAGGGUGCAUACAAGGUUAGUUUACUUGUCUUGCCAACCUCUGGAUUUAACAAUUGGAUACCAUUACUUAUUACCUCUUAACAUUCUUUCUUCUUUCAUUCUAGAUAUCCAAGGGGCUGCUCGAGAAGUAUGGCCCUGAGAGGGUUCUCGAUACCCCAAUCACUGAGGUCAUUUUCCUUGCGCACAUUUCGUAUCUCUUUCAUACUUCAUACUUAUCCACCCAUUUGGUUUGCAACUUAUUUACCAUCUCCUUCCGUCUCUCCCUUACAUUCGUUACACCGCUUCACUGUAUGUACUUUUAGGUAACAAUGGUUGCAAACUGGUACACAUUUGGUACUUCUUGAGGCUCUAACCCUAUCCCAGUUUUAGUGUCUAUUAGAUAUAGUACCAUUCAAGAAAGAAAAAAAAUUUCGCAUUGAGAAAUUCAUAAGUAUUCAAUUUUUGGUUAAAAACCUAUAUUUGAUUAUAAAACAAAUGAUGAACUCAAACUAUACAUUAAGUAGACCCUUUAAUGUUAUUUGUUGCUAUUCUUCAUUUUCUGAAUUAGCAAGAUGCUGGCAUGACUAACCCAAGCACAAUGCUAUGAGUUAGAGUUUGCGAUAAAGCACACGUGUUUCACCUUGAAUCUUCUCCAAAUGAAUUUUGUAAUAUUUUGGCAUGUAACCACUUCUGAAUUUCUCUCUGAACUUGCCAAGGUCCAACUUUAAUAUGUCGAAAGAGUCAUUAAUGGAAUCAACCUAUAAAAUAAACAAAUUGAAGCUUUAAUAAUAUGAUGGCUUCGGGAUUCAUUCGUUGGAAUUAGAAUGGAAUGUUAUUUUUGGGUUUUGUGUUCUUCAUGUGUGCCACUUUUCACUUUUUGUUACAGAUUGCUUAUUGAACAUAAAAAUUAAUCUUUUCAGCUCCUCGCUGUAACAUUGUAAUCUAAUAUCCGUGUUUGAAUAAUGUUUUCAAUACCAUGGUUGGCUCUCCAUCUUAAAAAUGAGAUUAACAGACUGACUUUUAUGAAUUGAACUUAACUGCCUAUCCCUGGCCAAAAAAGAACAGGACUUAUACACAGUUGCAUAUGUUGGAUUUACAUAAUCUUUUGUGAAAUAUAAUACAGGCUGGGUUUGCUGGUAUUGGAGUUGGUGCUGCUUACUAUGGUCUAAGGCCUGUUGUGGAGUUUAUGACUUUUAACUUCUCCAUGCAGGUAGGAUUAUAUCUUUAUUGCAUAAUUUCUUUGUUAAAUUUAGUGUGGAGUUAAGUGUCACAUUUCUUACAGAGUCAGCACUUAGUUUAUGCAAGUUUGUGUGUAUUAAAGUUAUGUGAACCUGGCUGUAAGUGAAGAUGAUUAGAUAACAUUGUAUGAGUUUUCUCUUUAGUGAUAGGAAUAACUGACUUGAGUUUUUCAAUACAUGAUGAUUGAUUCCUCAAGGAUAAAUGUCGACUUGCCUGUAAGGCUGUGUUAAUAAUCAGGAUAUAGGUGUGCCUACCCAACUCAAAAAUGCUUUGCACAAGAGUAUAUAAGAUAAAUGAUAUAAUUAAUUUCUAUUAGACAUAUAAAUGCUCAAAAAAUAAAAAUUACUCUGUAAAAAGCAUUGUCAUCAUUCAUAAAUAGAAGUCAUGAUGAUAGUCCAAAAUAUUAUCAUCAUUUUCUUAGGCAUAACUUUUAAUAAUUAAUAAGUUAUUGGCAACAAAGGAUCUUAAGGACGAAAAGAGUAUCGUGCCAAACCUUGACAAAUUUGAGCCUCUGAUGUGUUGGAGGGAUGACAUCAUGUGGGUUCUGAAGUGCAAACUAGUCAACACAAAAAGGAGAGAACAUCAAAGCAAAAAUGAGUUGUCCAAGUGUGCACCGAGGUGACAGGAAUGGAUAAUACUCAACACCAGCAGUUUGCUGGAAAACAACAGCAAACAAUGGAUAAUAGCCAAUCUCAAACUAGAGGGGGCGGGGAUGUGAAAACAAUGCCUGCUAGUAAAUGGCAUACAAUUUGAGGAGUCACAUGACAAAUCACCAAUAGUGAUCAAGAUUUUACAUGCUCUGGGCUUGUGAUUGUUGCUUUAUGAAAACCUGAAGUGAUUCUCUGUGCAUUGCAGGGAUGACAUACUUAAUGUUUUUAAUAUUCUGUGUCUGACUACCCUGUUAAAGAUAUAAACCUAAGGAUUUGUUGUUGGGCAAAGCUGCCGAUCUCAGUAUACAAAAGAGGGAUUCAAUUUAUUGUUAACAGUGGCAAUCAUAUUUGACUUUAAAAAUAAAGCAAUUCUGUAGUGUUUUAAAUAAUAGUUUGAACAUCACAUCAAUGCCAUACAAAUCAAUUUAGUUUAUUAGAUGACAGGCUUUUUUGCUGCAAAUUGGUUACUUGACAAUACUCUGCGUGAAGUAGGGCCUUGUGUUUGCAAUCUUAAUGUUGGCCGCUGGUAGCUUGAAUAUUGAAUACUAAUAAAUUCAAGUGAAUAUUGUAUCAACAUGUGUAAUUAUGCUUAGUUUUUAGCUUCAUUUGUCUGGUAUCCAGCUGUGUCAUCUUUGGUUUGUUAGCUUGCUGAUUAAUUAUUUAACUUCUAUCCACUCAUUGAAUUUUAACUAUUGUUGCAGGCAAUAGACCAUAUUAUUAAUUCUGCCGCAAAAUCCAAUUACAUGUCUGCUGGGCAAAUAUCUGUACCUAUUGUUUUUAGAGGACCCAAUGGUGCUGCCGCUGGGGUUGGUGCCCAGCAUUCUCAAGUAUGGUUCUCAAAGCUGCUUUCUUUUAUGUACAAACUUUAUUUCACUAUUUCGUUAAAUUCUGCCUUGAAUUUACUCUGCUUUAGAGGUGUGGAGAACUGAUAAAUACUUCAGAUUUCAUCUAUGUAUCUACAACUUUGCUUUUAUGCAGUGUUAUGCAUCUUGGUAUGCUUCAUGCCCUGGGUUGAAAGUCCUGUCUCCGUAUUCAUCUGAAGAUGCACGUGGUUUGCUUAAAGCUGCUAUAAGGGACCCCGAUCCUGUUGUUUUUCUUGAAAAUGAGUUACUGUAAGUUUUGCUGCUUUAUUCUCACCCACACACAACCCCCUGCCCGAGAAAUAAGUUGCCAUAGUUUUAACACCAGUUAUUAUUAUUAUUAUUCCGAAAAAUAUUUAAUUUGUACACUAUGUCCCCUAGAUAUGGUGAGUCAUUCCCUGUUUCGGCUGAAGCUCUUGAUUCCAGUUUUUGCCUUCCCAUAGGAAAAGCAAAGGUAGUUAAUUAUCUGUAGUGUACGAAUCCUUGUUUCUAGAGCCAUAUUUAGUUAUUUACUACACAAUAAUGCAUUCUCACUGAAUCCAUGUUUGCUUCACGCAUUUUAUCACUAACAGAUUGAGAGGGAAGGAAAAGAUGUAACUAUUACAGCUUAUUCAAAAAUGGUUGGCUAUGCUCUCAAGGUUUGUUUACCGUGAGAUCCUUUUGUGGUGUAGAUAUGAAUAUUUUGCUGUUCUAAAAAGUUAAAAAUCUCUAACCCCUUCUGUACUACCAAAGUAGACAACAUUCUUAAAUAUCUCUUGGUGUUUUAGGCUGCUGAGACACUGGCUAAAGAAGGAAUCAGUGCCGAGGUAAGAUUUGCAAGAGUUAGUAAUGAACUUUCCCCUCUUUCUCCAAAACUUCAUUUGGGUUAUGAUAAUGGUUAAUGACGUUUAUCCACAUAGGUUAUUAAUUUGCGUUCAAUCCGACCAUUGGAUCGAUCAACAAUUAAUGCUUCUGUCAGGAAAACCAACAGGCUAGUGACAGUUGAAGAAGGGUUUCCUCAGCAUGGUGUUGGGGCUGAAAUCUGGUUUGUCUCUUUGCAUUGACUUUCUCUGUAUCUUUCUGGUUAAAUUUUGCCAAUUAUGUGAGUGUAUACUUCUCUUGAGCAGCACAUCUGUCAUUGAGGAGAGUUUUGGUUAUCUUGACGCACCUGUUGAGAGAAUUGCUGGGGCUGAUGUUCCUAUGCCAUACGCAGCUAACCUGGAGAGAUUGGCUGUUCCACAGGUAAUGAUUGUAGAAUAUUAUGUGUUUGUUCUGAAUAUGUCAACUUGUUUUGGAAGAUUUGUUAUCUUUAUUUUGAUCCAGAAAUGUACUUUUAUUUUGAAUGGGAGUAGUGAUAGCCUGGACAUGAUGGUCUUGUGUGACACGAGUAUUGAUGCUAAUUUGUUCAAGGUUUUGGUACAAGUGUAUUGAGAAUUUAAAUCUGAUUGUUUUCUGGUAUAUGUGGAUGGACAGAUUGAAGAUAUUGUUCGAGCUGCGAAGAGAGCAUGCCACAGAUCGGUGCCUUUGGCUGCAGCUGCUUGAAAGUUCUGGAAAACUUUCAUGUCCUGAUUAGUUCUUUGGUAAUCCUUGAUGUACCAAAAACAAUUUUCCCCCAAAUUUCCACCAUAAAACAGCAGGAAGAAAUUACAACCAAAGAAUGCUGGUUUUAACUCGUGGGUUAUGCUGGGCUUUGGUUAAAAAAUUCUGUUGUAUAUUCCUAAUUUUCAGGACUCACAGAUGCCAUACAUUUUUUUCCCCAUUCUCAGCCAGCAUAUAUAUGGGAGGAAGUUAAGUUUAAUAACUUGGAAAACAAUAACACAGGGCGGAAGUCUUCUGUGCUUUGGUUUCUGAUUGGCAAUAACUAAGUAGUCAAUUUUUUGAAUACAUUAUCGAGUUUCUUUCCAGUGGGCCAGUUCUAUGCAAGAUCUAGCUUACUUAUUUAAUUCAAUCCCAUUUACUGUUUGUUACUUGGCAGGCUAGAGAUAUUUGAUUUGAUACGAGGUCCGUAUCCUCGGGGAGAAUAAGGCUAUGGGUACUUGGUGUUGUGGAUUGUGCUUGGUCUUAGUCACCGUGAACUCCCUAAAAUUACUUAUAUAACUUCGGUUAGCAAUACCCACGAAAUCAUAUUGUCUCCUGUUAAUGUCAGUCGAAGAAAUUUCUCCAUUUGCUUAAACGAGUUUAACUUUUAUCUAUGGGGAAAUUUCACCGUGAAUCAUGUGUUGAGAAAGCACUUGGACGUUGAUUUUUGAUAUAAUUGUUUGUCAACUUCAUUUAGUAUCAUGUCAAUGUAUUAACAAAGAUAAUUUGGCAAAUUUGAUGUCGUAAACCUAAUUAUAUGCUCUAAAUUAUGUUACUGACAAUAGUAAAUCAUAUUUGAGAGGUCGUUUUGAAGGACAAAAGAUUGUGUUGAUUUUGUAAGUCGUACAAAAUAUUAUAUAAUUGGAUAAAUAUUUAAAAUGGAAGGAAAGUAUAUUAAUACUUUGUUUUUUUUUUGUUUGUUAAGUUAUUUUCUGAAUUUGAAAAUGAAAUGUUUUCUUUCCUUUUAUUUUCAUCCAUAACUUUUCAGUUUUAUUUUGUUUGCUGUUUUGACAUGAUAAAAUGUUCAGUUCUUAUUUUUGCUUUACUAGAAUAUUAAUGCUGUAUGUGAGUAUGAAAUCGUUAUUUCGAACACAAAUUCUGCUUUUCUUAGCCCUUAACUUGAAAAAAGUAGUUUCAAAUAUAAACGCUCGGAUCCUUAAGACCUCAACUAACAUUUGUUUUAUUAUAUUAAAUAAUCUUAAAUCAUUUAAGAGUUUGCAUGAAUGAUCAUUUAAAUAUAUUUUUUCUUUUAACUUUUUUAUGUAUUUAAAGACAUGACGAUAAAAGAAUUUUAAAAUUUAAAGUGAAGAAUACAUCAAUUCACAUAUGCUGAUUGUAAUGUAUGUAAUUAGGUUCACAACAAAAAUUUAAGGUGGAUGAUAUGGUCAUAAAAAUCUUUCAUAAAUUCCAAAAUAUGUUAUCUUAGUUCAUUUUGCAUGUUAUUUGUUUCCAAUACUUUUUUAGAACAAAAUCUCAGAAAGCACAAAAUUUCCUGAAAGUAAAAUUGGGGAAUUAUAAAUAAAAUCUGAUUAGAAAAUAGCCGAGAAUUACAUGCAAAAUAUGCUCUGAAAUGUAAACCAUUAUUUUCUAUAUAUGAAGUUGACUUUACUUUCGCAAAGCAAGCUAUGAUAUCAAAUUCGAUUACAUUAUUCUUGGAGUGGAGUUAAAAUGUGAUAAAUAGUUGAUUUUGCAGACAAAUGGUAUUUUAGAAGCUUCGGUAUCCCUUUUUAUAUCUUCUGUGUCCGAAGUAUUUUAAUUUUAAAAAAGUGUCUUUGUUUUAGUUAGGGAGCAUAAUUUUUGAAAAUAGUUUGGCAGUUAUUUUAAAAGUCAAAGUCGAAAAGCUUACAUUUUGUAUUGAUUCUUGUUUGGAGAAAAAAGAAAUCGAAAAAUUUGUAUGCAUGGAAGGUGUGGCCUUGACUUUUGACAAGUGAACGAAAGUAUUUUUAGUGAAUAGUUUUAUAGUAUAAUUCAAUGAUUAGAAGCAGAGAAUUGAGAGAGGGAGGAAGAAGAAGUGAUGAUAGGAGAAGGUUAGGGAUAAUAGUAAUGGUAAAUAGAAAUACAAUAUUAUUAAAAAUAAAUAAUAGUAGUAAUUAUAAUAAUAAUAAUAAUAGAAAUAAUGAAAGGUUGGGGGUGGUGGAAUUUGCGUGGGAGGAGUUGGUGGCGUAAGCAGAGGAAGCGGUUGAAGAAAGAAAUGGUCUGAUUGGGAUGGGGAAGGGGAUUUGACCACCUCCUCGUUGUCGUUGUUGGCGGCGAUUUCCAUUUGCUAUUCUUCACUCUAAUCCUUCAUUGUUACGAACAAACAAAGCAAAAGUUAUUAGAACAAACGAUUGCAAGACAUCGAUGAAGAGCUCUCUGAAGAAAUUGCGAGGUCUGGCGCUUCACAAUCACAACCACAACCGCACUCGCAAGGAUGACUCCUCCAACUCCAUUCAGCCUUUGGGCCAGCUUGACGAGCUUGCUCGGGCCACCCAGGCACGCACGCCUCCACAUUCGCAUUUCUCUUUCCAUCUCUGUUUCUUCAACAUAUCCUACCCUAUCAUACAAUACAUCUCUACUUUUAGGGUUUGACGGAUGGAAUUGAUUUGGAAUUGCUCUUCAGGAUAUGCAAGACAUGAGGGACUGCUAUGACACCUUGCUUUCCGCCGCUGCUGCAACCGCCAGCAGUGCCUAUGGUAGGGUUGGGACGUUGGAAUAUCGUUCAUUCAUUCUUUCUUUCUUUUCUUCAUCCUUUCAUGCUUUUCAUAUCGUCUAUUAUUCUCUUCUUACAGAAUUCUCUGAGUCCUUGCGAGACAUGGGCUCUUGUCUCCUCGAGAAGACCGCUUUAAAUGACCACGCAGAUGAAACUGGCACUCUACUCUUCUUUUACUUCUUCUUCUUCCACUUCUGCACGCACUUCAUCACCUUUUUCAUUUUUUCUCUUCCCUAACCCCUUCCGUUGUUCUUUUCCAUUCUGUUAUUGCAGGAAAACUUCUCCUCACGCUUGGCAAAAUUCAGUUCAAACUCCACAAACUAAUUGAUGACUACGUCACUUCCUAAUCUUUUCUCUAUUUCCAUUUUAUCUUUACUAAUUAUUUUCUAUGCUUUUCAUCACUCUUUUCUUUCCCUUUCCAGCGUUCUCAUAUAAUCCAGACAAUUACCGUUCCCUCGGAAUCUCUCUUGAAUGAACUUCGAAUUGUUGAGGUUUCUAAUUCUAAUCUUUUUUAUAUCUCUAUCUAUUGCUCUUACAUAAACCUAGUCAUGCAUCACUCUCCUUCAA
This 27834-nucleotide long non-coding RNA is filed under the name Vigna radiata. Its description in RNAcentral is "long non-coding RNA (VRAD_LNC003241)". Lineage: Eukaryota; Viridiplantae; Streptophyta; Magnoliopsida; Fabales; Fabaceae. The record is from RNAcentral.